Molecule: ribosomal RNA, 496 nt
Filed under: Potos flavus (kinkajou)
Lineage: Eukaryota; Metazoa; Chordata; Mammalia; Carnivora; Procyonidae
Description: partial 12S ribosomal RNA
Rfam family: Bacterial small subunit ribosomal RNA
Source: RNAcentral
AAUUAACUCAACAAAAUUAUUUGCCAGAGAACUACUAGCAAUAGCUUAAAACUCAAAGGACUUGGCGGUGCUUUAUACCCCUCUAGAGGAGCCUGUUCUAUAAUCGAUAAACCCCGAUAAACCUCACCACUUCUUGCUAAAUCAGUCUAUAUACCGCCAUCCUCAGCAAACCCUUUAAGGGAAGAAAAGUAAGCACAAUAAUUAACGCAUAAAAAAGUUAGGUCAAGGUGUAACCUAUGAAGUGGGAAGAAAUGGGCUACAUUUUCUAAACAAGAACAUUAUGCACGAAAGCUUCCAUGAAAUUAGAAGCCAAAGGUGGAUUUAGUAGUAAAUCGAGAAUAGAGAGCUUGAUUGAACAGGGCCAUGAAGCACGCACACACCGCCCGUCACCCUCCUCAAGCAAUGUAAGCUAAAUAUAACAUAUAACGAGCAAAUCAAUGCAAGAGGAGACAAGUCGCUAACAAGGUAAGCGUACUGGAAAGUGUGCUUGGAUUAA